Molecule: long non-coding RNA, 1004 nt
Filed under: Homo sapiens (human)
Lineage: Eukaryota; Metazoa; Chordata; Mammalia; Primates; Hominidae
Description: HSALNT0338516
Source: RNAcentral
GUUGAAGCCCUGCUGGGAGGGUUGGGCGUUUCCAGCCAUUCUCACACGGCUUCUCAGCCGGGGUCUCCCACCCCGGCCCUGGCCCUGGGCCUGCCCUCACUGCCUCCUCCCCAUCCCCUACCCCUAGAGGCCUCCUGCCCUGGUCACCUACGCGUCACCUAAGCCCCGAGGCCAGGCGGCUUCUUGUCUACUAAAGACUUCCGGAGAGAGGCAUUCACCCUGUGGUCAGAGCUGGGGUUUCCAUGGAGGAGCACCACAGCCAUAAAGAAAGUUAUGGAGGCUGUGAAGUGCAAGGUCAAGAGGCUGCAUCUGGUGAAGACCUUCUUGCUGGUAGGGUCUCUCUACCUGGUCCUGAGGCAGUCCAGGGCAUCACAUGGCUGGUGAGCCCCAGAGCGGAGGACCCUGCCGAGCUGUUUCCAGACUCCUGAUCCACAGAAACCGUGAGAGGAUAACAUUGUUCUGCUUGAAGCCACUACACCUGCCGUCACUUGUCUCGCAUCAUUAGGGAACCAACGUGCUCUGGAAGACAGCAACUCUCAGGGUCCAUUCCGCUGACACCAGCGCCUCAGAUGACACAGGACGUGGCAUGGUGGCUAUUGACUCAUCAAGGGAACAGCAAUGGCCACUCUGCACCUUGCAUUCCUAUCCUUUUUUGGGCUUCAGAUCAGAAAUCGCAACUUUUGCGUGGAGAUCCUGGGCCUCCACACUGCUGGCCUCCCAUCGUCCCAAGAAUGACUCCCUGGAAAGAGCCUGUUCAGACCCUUUGUGACUGGACUCUACUGUAAGAGGAGAAUCAAAUGCUUGCAAGAAAACUGUAAAGCAGAGUUUCCUAAAAUACAUUUCAUAAGCGUGAGUGCCAGGAGUGCCUUAAAAAUGUGACUCUAUUGUCAAAUAAGUUGGGCAAUUUACUGAAGUAUACAUGAAUAUGUUAAAACCUCCAAGGAGUCCUGAAUUUAAAACAAACCUACACACAAAAACAAAGGUAUUUUUUAACCUAUCUGUUU